Molecule: ribosomal RNA, 497 nt
Filed under: uncultured bacterium
Lineage: Bacteria
Description: partial 16S ribosomal RNA
Rfam family: Bacterial small subunit ribosomal RNA
Source: RNAcentral
GUUGAACGCUGGCGGCGUGCCUAAUACAUGCAAGUCGAGCGAACGGACGAGAAGCUUGCUUCUCUGAUGUUAGCGGCGGACGGGUGAGUAACACGUGGAUAACCUACCUAUAAGACUGGGAUAACUUCGGGAAACCGGAGCUAAUACCGGAUGAUAUUUUGAACCGCAUGGUUCAAAAGUGAAAGACGGUCUUGCUGUCACUUAUAGAUGGAUCCGCGCUGCAUUAGCUAGUUGGUAAGGUAACGGCUUACCAAGGCAACGAUGCAUAGCCGACCUGAGAGGGUGAUCGGCCACACUGGAACUGAGACACGGUCCAGACUCCUACGGGAGGCAGCAGUAGGGAAUCUUCCGCAAUGGGCGAAAGCCUGACGGAGCAACGCCGCGUGAGUGAUGAAGGUCUUCGGAUCGUAAAACUCCGUUAUUAGGGAAGAACAUAUGUGUAAGUAACUGUGCACAUCUUGACGGUACCUAAUCAGAAAGCCACGGCUAACUACGUG